This 497-nucleotide ribosomal RNA is filed under the name uncultured bacterium. Its description in RNAcentral is "partial 16S ribosomal RNA". It matches the Rfam family "Bacterial small subunit ribosomal RNA", at positions 28 to 507 of the family's 1533-position model. The record is from RNAcentral.
GAUGAACGCUGGCGGCGUGCCUAAUACAUGCCAGUCGAGCGAACGGACGAGAAGCUUGCUUCUCUGAUGUUAGCGGCGGACGGGUGAGUAACACGUGGAUAACCUACCUAUAAGACUGGGAUAACUUCGGGAAACCGGAGCUAAUACCGGAUAAUAUUUUGAACCGCAUGGUUCAAAAGUGAAAGACGGUCUUGCUGUCACUUAUAGAUGGAUCCGCGCUGCAUUAGCUAGUUGGUAAGGUAACGGCUUACCAAGGCAACGAUGCGUAGCCGACCUGAGAGGGUGAUCGGCCACACUGGAACUGAGACACGGUCCAGACUCCUACGGGAGGCAGCAGUAGGGAAUCUUCCGCAAUGGGCGAAAGCCUGACGGAGCAACGCCGCGUGAGUGAUGAAGGUCUUCGGAUCGUAAAACUCUGUUAUUAGGGAAGAACAUAUGUGUAAGUAACUGUGCACAUCUUGACGGUACCUAAUCAGAAAGCCACGGCUAACUACGUG